RNAcentral lists this ribosomal RNA (546 nucleotides) under uncultured actinomycete. RNAcentral describes it as "bacterial SSU rRNA". It matches the Rfam family "Bacterial small subunit ribosomal RNA", at positions 712 to 1253 of the family's 1533-position model. Lineage: Bacteria; Bacillati; Actinomycetota; Actinomycetes; Actinomycetales. The record is from RNAcentral.
GGUGGGAAGGCGGAUCUCUGGGCCGUUCUGACGCUGAGGAGCGAAAGCGUGGGGAGCGAACAGGAUUAGAUACCCUGGUAGUCCACGCCGUAAACGUUGGGAACUAGGUGUUGGCGACAUUCCACGUCGUCGGUGCCGCAGCUAACGCAUUAAGUUCCCCGCCUGGGGAGUACGGCCGCAAGGCUAAAACUCAAAGGAAUGACGGGGCCCGCACAAGCAGCGGAGCAUGUGGCUUAAUUCGACGCAACGCGAAGAACCUUACCAAGGCUUGACAUAUACCGGAAAGCAUCAGAGAUGGUGCCCCCCUUGUGGUCGGUAUACAGGUGGUGCAUGGCUGUCGUCCGCUCGUGUCGUGAGAUGUUGGGUUAAGUCCCGCAACGAGCGCAACCCUUGUUCUGUGUUGCCAGCAAGCCCUUCGGGGUGAUGGGGACUCACAGGAGACCGCCGGGGUCAACUCGGAGGAAGGUGGGGACGACGUCAAGUCAUCAUGCCCCUUAUGUCUUGGGCUGCACACGUGCUACAAUGGCCGGUACAAUGAGCUGCGAU